AAACCAACAGGGAUUGCCCUAGUAACGGCGAGUGAAGCGGCAACAGCUCAAAUUUGAAAUCUGGCGCAAGCCCGAGUUGUAAUUCUGUAGAGGAUGCUUCUGGGCAGCGGCCGGUCUAAGUUCCUUGGAACAGGUCGUCAUAGAGGGUGAGAACCCCGUAUGUGACCGGCGCGCACCCUCCACGUAGCUCCUUCGACGAGUCGAGUUGUUUGGGAAUGCAGCUCUAAAUGGGAGGUAAAUUUCUUCUAAAGCUAAAUACCGGCCAGAGACCGAUAGCGCACAAGUAGAGUGAUCGAAAGAUGAAAAGCACUUUGGAAAGAGAGUUAAAAAGCACGUGAAAUUGUUGAAAGGGAAGCGCUUGCAACCAGACUCCGCGGCGGUGUUCCGCCGGUCUUCUGACCGGUCUACUCGCCGCCGUGGGGCCAACAUCGUCUGGGGCCGCCGGAUAAGACCGUUGGAAUGUGGCUCCCUCGGGAGUGUUAUAGCCAGCGGUGAUGCGGCGCGUCUCGGGCGAGGUCCGCGCUUCGGCAAGGAUGUUGGCGUAAUGGUUGCCAGCGGC
RNAcentral lists this ribosomal RNA (559 nucleotides) under uncultured fungus. Its description in RNAcentral is "eukaryotic LSU rRNA". It matches the Rfam family "Eukaryotic large subunit ribosomal RNA", at positions 62 to 648 of the family's 3401-position model. The record is from RNAcentral. Lineage: Eukaryota; Fungi.